GAUGAACGCUAGCGACAGGCUUAACACAUGCAAGUCGAGGGGCAGCGGGGGCGGAAGCUUGCUUUCGCCCGCCGGCGACCGGCGCACGGGUGAGUAACACGUAUGCAACCUGGCCGCCACAGGGGGAUAACCCGCGGAAACGCGGCCUAAUACCCCGUGACGCCACCGGAGGGCAUCCUCCGGUGGCCAAAGGAGCGAUCCGGUGGCGGAUGGGCAUGCGGCGCAUUAGCUAGACGGCGGGGUGACGGCCCACCGUGGCGACGAUGCGUAGGGGUUCUGAGAGGAAGGCCCGCCACACUGGGACUGAGACACGGCCCAG
RNAcentral lists this ribosomal RNA (319 nucleotides) under uncultured bacterium. RNAcentral's name for it is "bacterial SSU rRNA". It matches the Rfam family "Bacterial small subunit ribosomal RNA", at positions 28 to 334 of the family's 1533-position model. The record is from RNAcentral.